GACGAACGCUGGCGGCGUGCUUAACACAUGCAAGUCGAACGGAAAGGCCCUGCUUUUGUGGGGUGCUCGAGUGGCGAACGGGUGAGUAACACGUGAGUAACCUGCCCUUGACUUUGGGAUAACUUCAGGAAACUGGGGCUAAUACCGGAUAGGAGCUCCUGCUGCAUGGUGGGGGUUGGAAAGUUUCGGCGGUUGGGAUGGACUCGCGGCUUAUCAGCUUGUUGGUGGGGUAGUGGCUUACCAAGGCUUUGACGGGUAGCCGGCCUGAGAGGGUGACCGGCCACAUUGGGACUGAGAUACGGCCCAGACUCCUACGGGAGGCAGCAGUGGGGAAUAUUGCACAAUGGGCGGGAGCCUGAUGCAGCAACGCCGCGUGCGGGAUGACGGCCUUCGGGUUGUAAACCGCUUUCGCCUGUGACGAAGCGUGAGUGACGGUAAUGGGUAAAGAAGCACCGGCUAACUACGUG
RNAcentral lists this ribosomal RNA (467 nucleotides) under uncultured bacterium. Its description in RNAcentral is "partial 16S ribosomal RNA". It matches the Rfam family "Bacterial small subunit ribosomal RNA", at positions 28 to 507 of the family's 1533-position model. The record is from RNAcentral.